RNAcentral lists this ribosomal RNA (424 nucleotides) under uncultured bacterium. Its description in RNAcentral is "bacterial SSU rRNA". It matches the Rfam family "Bacterial small subunit ribosomal RNA", at positions 355 to 796 of the family's 1533-position model. The record is from RNAcentral.
CAAGGAAUUUUCGUCAAUGGGCGCAAGCCUGAACGAGCAACGCCGCGUGGAGGAUGACGGCCUUCGGGUUGUAAACUCCUUUUUCGGGGGACGAUGAUGACGGUACCCCGGGAAUAAGGCUCGGCUAACUCUGUGCCAGCAGCCGCGGUAAUACAGAGGAGCCAAGCGUUGUCCGGAUUGACUGGGCGUAAAGCGCACGCAGGCGGCACCGCGCGUGGGGUGUGAAAUCUGGCCGCUUAACGGCCAGGCGCCAUCCCAUACGGCGGAGCUGGAGUGAUGCAGAGGUCGGUGGAAUUGCCGGUGUAGUGGUGAAAUGCGUAGAGAUCGGCAGGAACACCCAGGGGGAAACCAGCCGACUGGGCAUCUACUGACGCUGAUGUGCGAGAGCGUGGGGAGCGAACCGGAUUAGAUACCCGGGUAGUCC